UACUCCUUCACCCCUUCUCGGGGGCCGCGAUCACCGUGCUGCUCCGACCAAACAUUGAGCCCUUAUGGCGGAUGCCUCUGUGCCCCUCCCCGGUCUUCUGUCUGCCGUGGGGCCCCGCCGACCCCACCUGCCAGGCACACCCACCGCUCCCAGCACCGGCCUCCCAGACUCACCGAUGCCGUCCAAAAGCAGCCCAAGCCGGGCUCUCAAACAGGGAACCAGAACAUGCUACCACAGGGCCUUCUCAUAGGUUCUGGACUGAACCGCAGGUCACUCGGCCCAGAGGGGCUGCCUGUCGCCGUCGCCCUCCACUGUAAUUCCUGCACUCUGCUCGCACCGUCUGCUUUUGUCCACGCUUAUGUGCAGGGUUUUCCUGCUUCAAUGUUCUAUCCACCUAGUGCGUGCUCCGGAGAGGAUACGACACUGCCCUCUGCCCCCAGGGGCCCACGACACGGUGCGGGAGCUGCAGCCAGCUCUCCACAAAUACCUGUGGCAGAGGGACCACGGCCUGGAGCCCCAAGCAGCAGCCAGCGCGAUGAGGGCUCAGCCCGUAACUCAGCAUGACCACCAUGAGCUGGCAAGUAAACUGCAGUACACGCGCGUGUGAGACACAUUCACGUUCUUGAAGCGAGCAUCACUAUCUGGACCACAGAUGUGUCGGUCACACGUAUGGGAUCACAGAAAAGACACGAGCGUGUGGGCUUUACGCCCGAAAUUCCAGGAUUUUGGAGGUCUAGUUAUCUGCCCUGGUCGCAGUACGGGUCUGGGCCCCUUAGGAUUGGGCCUCAGUGCGGACAGGAAUCUUGGUUCCCCCAGAGCCAGCUGUGGUUCUGGCUCUGGCUCGGGUGGCCCGCGAUGACAGCCGGGGAAGUGGCUGGAGGAGGAAACUCAAGGGCCGCCAGGAAGGUUGCCGAAUCACCAGCUUGACCCCAGCUGGAAACGAAGAUUCCUCCAAGAUCAAAACCCAGCUCCAAAGAAGCUCCAAGACCUGGUGGCCAGGCCCAGUUCCACCAUCGGGUGAGGCGCUGGGGGCCACGAGUCCGUUAACUGCCGAGCUGACCCUGGGGAGGGUAGAGUCCGUUUCACUUAAAAACACUAAAAAAAAAUCUACUUCUUAAAUAACCGUGUAGGCCCUGCUUUCUCUGCAUAGUUGGGUUUCAGAGCUGAAUUUCCAAACGCAGAAGUUAAAGGUUCCUGGAAGGAGAACCCCACAGAUAUCCUGAGAGUGUAAAUGACUUUCUGUGCAGAGCGAGGGGCCUACAGAAGCCAGAGGCUUUGCUUCCCUGCCAUCCCCAGUGACCAACAGUCACAUCACAACACAUCCCAGACGCUGUUCUCAACUCUGUAUUAACUCAUUUGCUCCCCAUGACCACCCUACGAGAAACAUACCGUCAUCAUCCUUUCAAAGGUGGAACGGAGGCACAGGGAGGCUGAGAAGCCUGCUGAGGCCACACAGCUCACGGGAGGCCUGCGCCCAGCAUGCCGACACUGCUCUGGUUUUGUGCUAUUUAACGCCACCUAGCUUCCCGCUGCGGCCACCGGUGCUCCGAGACGCACAUUCAGCUGGAUCACACUUCCAUCUCAAGAGGGUUUGCUGCGACUUUUCUGAUCCUUGGCGAAGCCUAAAUUUUGUGCCAUCCCACCUGGCUCAGAGUUUCUGCUUCUGCUAAACCUCUAAACCAAGGGAGUCCGGCCCUGGAACCCACCGCGUCCACCUCCAUCCUGACUUGUGAGCAUGAUUUUACGCAUGACAGUAAGAAGUUGCUUACGACUUCAGGAAGGAAGUUUGAGAGUUAAUUUUUUUUUAAGAAGCAGAAAUCCUUGGCAUUCUUCUUCUUCUUUCAAAAGAAAGGCCUCUGAAGGGCACAAGAACCAGAAAAUAUGGGAAAUGCUUUGGAACGUUAAUUGGCAAAAUCACAAGUGCCCAAAGGCUCGUGGUGAGCCGGCCACUAAGGAGAGCCCCUCCAACAAACAACACGGAAAGAGUCAGGACCCAGGUCUGGUACCAAAGUGCAGCUCACUAAACACAGAAAGGGGAGUACAGAUAGUCCUGAAUACAGUUAUUCAGGAACAACCAAGGUUCAAAUAAGUGAUGUCUUCUUCGUCACGGGAGGAGAGAAAACCGGUAACAGGUGUUGCUUCAAAGGCAGCCGAACUGAAUGGAUGCAUUUUGGAAACACGCAGAUCCCAGCAUGGAGAGUAAGAGCGUCGGGUCCUGGAGUGCCCGGGGACAUCCACGAAGGGGGAUGGCGCAGCAUCCUGCCACGGGGAUCAGGUCAGAAUGCAGACGGAUGACGUGGAACAGAAGUGCCAUCAUAGACGAAAAGAGCCAGAGUCCCCGAGAUCAAAAGCAAGCUACGAGUAAUCGUAAGGAAAUAAGAUAAAUAUACGGGUGAAACAAUCAGUACUUCUGAAACGGCCAUGCCCUGUGAGCAUCAUGACCACAUAAGAAGGAGGGUGACAACAGCGAGGGUGAGGAGGACACAGAACGGGUGUCCUUGGGAAGUCACAUGAGUCAGACGAAGGGGCCGCCAAUUCUGCAUGAGAAAGGGGGAGAAAGCAUUUUGUGUUUUGGCAAAUAAGCACGUAAAAAGAGUCUGGUGAUUGGCUUGCCCCGAAUCAGAGGACAAAUGACUAAGUUUCUUUUAAAAAACUGAGUUACUUUCCCAAUGGCCUCUUUCGCUGAAAUGACUAGAUCUCUAGGUGCGAUGUUAUGUUGCAGAGUAAAAUGCGGAAGGGAACCUUCCAUCCACUAUGUCUGCUACAAUAUGGUACCGGGCUGUUUAUCAGAAGACAUGGAGGUGGACAAUCUAAUUGCCCUUCAUCAGCCCAUGAUACUGACACACCGGUGGUGUUACUCUUCAAGACAUUGACCCAGCUCUUCAGAUGGCCCAGAUGAGCAAGCGUCUGGCCUGCAGGAGGCCCUUCCUGGACGAGCCUUUCACAGCAUCACCUCCUCAGGAAGCGGCCCCCUCUUGAUCUGACUGCAGGGAGGAGGCGCUGGGGGCCUUCAGGACGUGACUCCCUUUUCUGUCUGGAAGCCCUGGGAGCCAGCGAGGGACGCAGCGUCCUUCUCUCACCGCAGAAGCUUACACGCAGGUCACUAGGGUCCCUUAGGAGAUGAGACCCGGAGGGCUUGUAACCAGCCAAGGCCCAGGGUGAUCCGGUCAACUCUCCUCUUUAUCCACAGGUCCUAGGUUGCUGGGUAGGGACAUCCCAGGGUUCAGGGUUCGGGCUGCGAGUGGAGCAGUGGACAGGCCAGAGGACAGUCACAGAGGGAUGAAGGGCAGAAAGCACCAGUGGCUGCUCCUUCAGUAAAAGCCAUGGCUCGGUGGCAGUUAGAGACCCAGCAGCUGAAACGGCAACAAUUUGGUUGGGUCGAGGUGCCGCGCAAAGGCUUAAUUAAGAGCCCAAAGAAUAGAAAUGAACACCACGGACUAACCACAGAAAUCAAAGGUCUCUAAGAGGACUCCGAGUGUGGGGUGAGCAGGUGAUGUGGUGGUCGCUGGAGGGAACCCAGGGCCCAGCCUCCCACAGGGGUCCUGGGUCAAGGAGUAGGAGGGGCAGGAUUUCACUGCGGCAUGAGCAGAAGGCCAGACAGUUCAGAAAAAAAGGGCUGAGGUAAACAUUCCACCGAAUUAAAUGCAGGAGACAGUCUACAGCCCACAUCAGGGUUUCAACCAGAGAUGUGUUUUUUUAAAGCUUAAAAUAAACAUUUUUCUUAAGUAUUAAGGGGGAAUAACCUUUAAUCUGAGAAAGCCAUGCCAUCACUACGAGGACAGAGGCAGCGGGAUGAGUGGGGGUGGCGGCACAGGGUGAGCUGUGUCUCUGUCCCGAGAGGCACCCACACCCCUUUCUGUGCGCCCGCCGUGGGGUCUUGGGGGUGCGCAGCCAGGGAAGGGCUCCGGCCCGCUGCAGACUGGUCCCGGCCUUCAGACGCGCCUCGCCCACCACCGAAGACUAGAAAGAUGCUUGUGAAACUCCGGCCAGGUGCACGCCACGGAGAAGGCCCAAGUGCCCCCCACCAUCUUCAGGAUCUCCCCAGGACAAUGCGGUUGUUGUCCCCCAUCCAAACACCAUAUGGCUCUUUGAUAAACACAGACCUCUCUACCCUCUGUCAAUCUGGUAUUUCGCGAUAUUACGACUAAAACCACAUAAAACCAAACCAACAGUUAGAACACUGACUGCGAUGUUUACAGCUCUACAUCGUCUCCACUGCCUGAGAGAUAGGUGUGUCCUCUUCACCCGGGGGCAGGGUCCCAUCCCCGGCAGGCGAGCACGGCUGCCCCGGGUGCCCGUGCUGUGAACCAGGACAGCCACCAUCGGUGUCCCUUCUGAAGAACACGGGCAAAGCUGGGACCCGGCACGAUCUACCUGACCGUCCUUGAUCUUCUUCUCUAGGAAAAGCACUGUAAGUGCAAGACGGGCUCUAGCCUUCACUCGCUCGACGUCCCUUUCCCUCCGAGCAGCUGCUGCCUACUCGCGCCCGUCUACAAGCCUCGUUAAGUAGAAAAACUACUGCUUUUCUCCUACAUCUUUUGUUUCGCUUUCCUUCCCGUCACCUACAUCCCCUCAUGGGUGAGUGGCAGCGACCGUAACCAACGCUGACGGCCCAGUACAGGGGGACAGGAACGUCACACGCUCUUGAGCACGUUUAGGCUGUCGGUGUUUCCUGAAAUCUGGGACUGAAGUGGCAACAGGCCACCGACACCCCUCCAUGGCACCGCCGUCCAAGGGACCAUCUUCCCAUUAACCUUCCUGCCGGCGGACGGGUCCAGGUCAGACUUUGUAACAGGUGGAGUUAGAAUAGCAAGCCGGAUGGGGUUUUGAAAACUCAUGUCUAUUUUUUAUUUUCACUGGUUAAAAAUAUUAGAUAGGCAUGAAACUCAUCACUUUUGUGAGUAAGAAAGGACUUCUUUGCAAACACGUGUCUUUGAGAGCAAAGAAACCCAAGACCCUCGUGUGAUCGGAACACAGAGCGUUCACGGCCGACACCCCUCACGCGGUCUAAUCAGGCCACAUCGCGUUUCUCCCAAGUGUCCGGGGAGAUACGGCCCGGUGCGUGUUGGGGUUACGUGAACCGAGGUGGGGUUUCCCAAACUGCAGCGAUUACGGCGUCUCGCUGAAAUGAACUAUGGAACCAGUCCUGGAUUAGCCACUCAGUGCAUCCCGCCCUCCGGGCCUUGGCCUUCAAGAGCGGUGCUCCUGGGAUGCCACGGUCAGAGGAGUACUAUCAGGUGAGGCUCUGAGAGGCGGCAGGUGCACGUGCACGGGCUUAUCCCUGUUCCGACCAUGUUCCAAAGGCUCUUUGGGGUUCCCUCCAAAAUAACAGAAAUAUACAAUAGCAGCUACUUUAUUAUUCUAUAUGUAAUGCCACGUAACGGAAGUACAAUUGUUCUAAGGACUGAUUGUUCUUAGGACCUGAAGGCACAAAGGAACUUAGAAGACGGUCUUGGCUCUUUGAGUGAGGUCAGCAUUACCAAAUUCAGGUAAUUUGGCAAAAAAACCAAAAAACAAAACAAAACAAAACAAAGAAAAGAA
This is a long non-coding RNA of Acinonyx jubatus (cheetah), 5541 nucleotides long. RefSeq lists it as uncharacterized. The transcript is spliced from 2 exons. The record is from RefSeq and is a predicted model, not a curated record. Lineage: Eukaryota; Metazoa; Chordata; Mammalia; Carnivora; Felidae.